RNAcentral lists this ribosomal RNA (2030 nucleotides) under human gut metagenome. RNAcentral's name for it is "bacterial LSU rRNA". It matches the Rfam family "Bacterial large subunit ribosomal RNA", at positions 831 to 2888 of the family's 2925-position model. The record is from RNAcentral.
AAUCGAACCCGGAGAUAGCUGGUUCUCCUCGAAAUAGCUUUAGGGCUAGCCUCAUGGAUCAUUGAUGGGGGUAGAGCACUGAAUGUGCGCGGGGGCCACAAAGCCUACCAAACGCUAUCAAACUUCGAAUACCAUACAAUGCAGACCAUGGGAGUCAGUCCGCGAGAGAUAAGUUCCGCGGGCAAAAGGGGAACACCCCAGAUCAACCGCUAAGGUCCCCAAGUUCACGUUAAGUGGAGAAGGAUGUGGAAUUGCACAGACAACCAGGAUGUUGGCUCAGAAGCAGCCACACAUUUAAAGAGUGCGUAAUAGCUCACUGGUCGAGUGAUUGUGCGCCGAAGAUGUCCGGGGCUAAACGUGACACCGAAGCGAUGGGUGCAUCUGAAAGGAUGCGCGGUAGAGGAGCAAUGUGCAGAGGCAGAAGCCGUAUCGAGAGGCACGGUGGACACUGCACAAGAGAGAAUGCCGGUAUGAGUAGCGAGAGGCAUGCGAGAAACAUGCCCGUCGAAAGCCCAAGGUUUCCUGGGGAAGGUUCAUCCGCCCAGGGUAAGUCGGGGCCUAAGCCGAGGACGGAAGUCGUAGGCGAUGGAUAGCAGGUGUAGAUUCCUGCACUACCGAUGGAAUGAAGCAGUGACACAGAAGGAUAACUCGAGCAGGGUGAUGGUCAACCCUGUGCAAGCAUCAAGGUUGGGUUGUAGUGAAGUACGCAAUCCUAUAAGCUGAGAUGUGAUGCGGACCGAAAUUUCAGUAGGGAAGCGAGUGAGUUCACGCUGGCGAGAAAAGCUGCUAGUACAUCCAAAGGUACCCGUACCGGAAACCGACGCAGGUGGGCGAGGAGAGAAUCCUGAGACGAACGGGAGAACCCUUGUUAAGGAACUCGGCAAAAUGACCCCGUAACUUCGGGAUAAGGGGUGCCUGCGAGAGCAGGCCGCAGAGAAUAGUCACAAGCGACUGUUUAGCAAAAACACAGGUAUCUGCGAAAGCGAGAGCUGACGUAUAGGUGCUGACACCUGCCCGGUGCUGGAAGGUUAAGGGAACAUGUUAGAGCAAUCGAAGCAUCGAACCGAAGCCCCAGUAAACGGCGGCCGUAACUAUAACGGUCCUAAGGUAGCGAAAUUCCUUGUCGGGUAAGUUCCGACCCGCACGAAUGGUGUAACGACUUGUGAGCUGUCUCAACAGGGGGCCCGGUGAAAUUGAAGUAUGGGUGAAGAUGCCCAUUACCCGCGACUGGACGGAAAGACCCCGUAGAGCUUUACUGCAGCCUGAUAUUGAGUUUCGGUAACUGAUGCACAGGAUAGGUGGGAGUCUGAGAGACAUGGGUUUCGGCUCAUGUGGAGACGGUGUUGGGAUACCACUCUUCGGUUACUGAAAUUCUAACAUAGCUCUGUGAAACCAGAGGAUGGACAGUGUCAGGUGGACAGUUUGACUGGGGCGGUCGCCUCCGAAAGAGUAACGGAGGCGCCCAAAGGUACCCUCAGAAUGGAUGGAAACCAUUCGAAGAGCGCAAAGGCAGAAGGGUGCCUGACUGCGAGAUUGACAAAUCGAGCAGAGACGAAAGUCGGGCUUAGUGAUCCGGCGGUAUUGAGUGGAAAAGCCGUCGCUUAACGGAUAAAAGCUACCUCGGGGAUAACAGGCUGAUCUCCCCCAAGAGUCCACAUCGACGGGGAGGUUUGGCACCUCGAUGUCGGCUCAUCGCAUCCUGGGGCUGUAUUCGGUCCCAAGGGUUUGGCUGUUCGCCAAUUAAAGCGGCACGCGAGCUGGGUUCAGAACGUCGUGAGACAGUUCGGUCCCUAUCCAUCGUGGGCGUAGGAGUCAUGAGAGGAGCUGUUCCUAGUACGAGAGGACCGGAAUGGACGCACCACUGGUGCAACUGUUGUCGUGCCAACGGCAUAGCAGGGAAGCGAAGUGCGGAUGGGAUAAACGCUGAAGGCAUCUAAGCGUGAAGCCCACCUCAAGAAUAAGACUCCACAAUAGACCCCUGGAGGACUACCAGGUAGAUAGGUCAUCGGUGGAAGCGCUGUAAGGCGUGU